CUGUAGUUUAAAUAAAAAUACCGGUCUUGUAAGCCGAUAGAUGAGAAAUUCUCCUUUGGCU
This 61-nucleotide transfer RNA is filed under the name Arctonoe vittata. RNAcentral's name for it is "tRNA-Thr". The record is from RNAcentral. Lineage: Eukaryota; Metazoa; Annelida; Polychaeta; Phyllodocida; Polynoidae.